This is a long non-coding RNA of Anastrepha ludens (Mexican fruit fly), 569 nucleotides long. RefSeq lists it as uncharacterized. Lineage: Eukaryota; Metazoa; Arthropoda; Insecta; Diptera; Tephritidae. The record is from RefSeq and is a predicted model, not a curated record. The transcript is spliced from 3 exons.
CAGAUGGUCUUACAAACGGACGAAAGUCCCACCGACCCGUGAAUAUUGGCAACGGUCGUUGAGGACCCUCAUCCGGUCGCACGAAACCAUUAAUAUUUGAAAUUUUCACACUGAACAGAAAAAAUGAAAUAAAAUCAGAUAAACAGCUCGAACCGAUUCCGGCUUGUGCUCCACAUAACGUAUUCAACCAGAUGCGCUGAAUUUCGGCCAUGCCUACAUUUACAAUGCAAGUAUGUUGGUGCAGAUGAUAUAUACGUGACGGUGGCAUGCAUCCGUCCAUUACUUGUGAUAUUGAAAUACGAAAGCUUCGAGCGUUUUCUUAUCAAAUCGCAAUUAGGUGUCACAACGAACGAACUUUCAUAGUGCCGCAAACUACUGCAAUCCAAAAAGGAAUUCUGUUCAACUUUAAACGCCAGCUCACCUGCAGAUUUGUGAUUUAUGACCCUCGAGGAGCGUUGAUGCUACGACGACUGCCCAGUUGUCUAGAAGGUGGUUGAAAAUAUUAAAAUAAGAGUUGUGGAGAAUAAGUUAAUGCUGAAAACUAAUGGUCAAAGUAGAAAGUAUAUAUA